Molecule: long non-coding RNA, 648 nt
Organism: Suricata suricatta (meerkat)
Lineage: Eukaryota; Metazoa; Chordata; Mammalia; Carnivora; Herpestidae
Exons: 3
Source: RefSeq, a predicted model, not a curated record
AUGGAAUUGUCGGAUGAUUAUAUUGUAUGCCCAAAAUGAAUAUUACAAGGAAGCAAAGCGUAACAGUGUUUUCAAAUUACCUGGGGACCGAGGGCAGGAAGAACAACCCAGUGAGGAGGCCAGAGCGAAGGAAACAUCAUUCCGCGUCAGUUAUCUGGAUCAUUCUACAGCCCGAGCAUGCUGCGGUCAGCUCUGAUGCUGUAAAGUAGGACCAGAGCAGGGGGGCUUUAAGAAGCUUGAAACAGAAGCCCUCUUCUGCUUGCCUCCCACUUCCUAACAAGGAAGGCGUCCCUCGCCGGGCCUGGAAGACCUAGAAAGCUCUGUGCAUCCCGCGUGAUUCAUGGUCACUCCGCCAUCUGGAGCCCGAAGGCCAUGCGACUCACUGAAAUCCUCCCGGGAUCCCAUCGGCUUCCGCCUUUCAGGGACAAACACGCAAGGAGAACCCCGAUGGGCACCUGGGGUUCAUCCUGCCUGCUUUCUGUCCUACUCAGAGCCAGCGCCGCUCCGGGGCGGGGCGGGGUGGCAGGAAGGGACUUGGCAGGGACCUCGGGGUUUCCAUGCAUGGGGCCGCCCCAGCUUGGCUGCUGCCUACCGCUGGGCUGGAUUUCUUGGCCCACGCACUGGGGAUUAAACACAUAAUAACCUCUA